This 2192-nucleotide long non-coding RNA is filed under the name Gallus gallus (chicken). Lineage: Eukaryota; Metazoa; Chordata; Aves; Galliformes; Phasianidae. The record is from RNAcentral.
GUGGCCGAGGCGCAGCAGUGUUUGUGCCUCCCGCACCAGACAGGCGCGCACCGCCGCCUCGUCCACCGCCGGCACCACGUACUUGUUGAAGCUGCAGUAGGAGCAGUGCUUGCGGCAGUAGGGCCAGUGCACGUAGAGAGCGGCUGUCGCGGGCCCCGCCGGUUCGGGGCCGGGAUCGGAGGGCUCCGAGGCCGACCUCAGCCCCGCAGCGCAGCCCGGACCCAUCCCGCGUGGCCGCGCCGCCCCGAGCCCCGCACGGAGGCCCCGCACCGCCAUCGCGCAGCGCAGCGCAGCGCACCGCCCCCGUUCCGCCCCGGGCGCCGCGCGAGGUUCCGUUUUCCGGACACCGCCUCGUCUUACUUGAACUGAGCGCGCGGCUGCCGCGCGUUAAUGACUGCAGCCUUUAAUUAAUUACACGUUCGAAUGGCGUCUGACGCGCGGCCUGAGCGACAGCGCGACGGGAAACGGCUCUGCGCGGCCGGGAAGGUCCGGGUCGGGCGUGAGCGGAAAACCUCCGCCCGGAGGCGGUGCGGCCCCGGCCCUGGAGCAGCCCUGGAGCAGCCCCGGAGCCCCGGGAUGGGAGCGCUCCGCCCGCGGCGGGGACGGGAACUGCGUGACCUUUACGGUCCCCUCCGCCCCCGCCCCGCCCCCCCCGCUCCACGAUCCCACGACGUUCCCGAGAUCCCAGCCGAGCCCACGCUGCGCCCCACCGCCACCCCCUGCGCCCAGCGGGGCUCAGCCCGAGGGACGCGCCGGGCGGUGGGAAAGGAGGUGGGGAGGAGGGGAGGUGGGCCCGGGGCUGUUCUGCUUCCCGCGCCCCAGGAAGGAGGCACCGCUUCGUGCUCCCACCUGCGGGCGGUGUUGGGGGCAUUCCGCCGGGACGGCGCUGACAUCGCUGCGUGCAGCCCCGGCCCGCCCCCCCUCUGCCCCCCCUCCCCGCUGCCCCCGCAGUCCCCACGGCUGCGGGAGGAGACGGAACCGCCGCGUUUCUCCGCUCGCGGUUGUGCAAAGCUGGCGCUGCCGGUCCAAAGCGUCGUAUUUUCUUAAUUUGCGCUAUUAAUAGAAGUGGAGAAGUGAGAAAGGUCUGCGACAAAGGGAGGGGAAAGCCGGCACCGCAGAUUCCCGUUCUCAGGCCGACGUCACCCUCUCCUCCCCGGAUCCCACAGCGGGGAGUUUCCCAGCUGGCUGCGAGGCCUAUAAGGUGGGGAUGGGCUGCAGCUGCACAGAUCACGUAUGGGCUCCGUGACCGAUGUGAUGCGGAGAGCUCUGAUGUGCAUUCAUGGUAUUGUGUCUGUUUACCCACACAAGGCAGGAUUGAUUUCAUCUUCAUCUCAUAGCAGCCAAGCUCAGGGAUCCCACACCCAGGAAGCACCUACGGACAACAGUCAUCUCACUGGGAGGGUCUGCUUCCAUGGGUAGAUCCCACAGUCCAGCUGGGAGAGCCAAAACUGACCUCACUGACGCUUCAUCGCUCCCCCUUUGCACCACCGCUCCUCACCCAUCAGAGGAUGAGGCUCAGCUGCUUCAGGAGGUGGAAAGAGGUUGGUGAGAGUUGGUUGCAGUGUAACCUGCAGCCCAGCUGGCAUGGGCCACUCGACGGGAGGGGAAAGGAGCUCCGCUCUGCAGCUUCUCGUCGUAGUGUUUCAUGGUUGGGAGGUACCAAACUCCCGUAAAAACGCUGUCCCAGGUUUGCUCUGCUUUACACUUCUCAUGGGACAGAAAGUUUGGUAUUUCUGUACAAUGCUUACUGUCUGUCUUAUCCAAAGCAACAAAAAUAAACACCAUUAAGUCCGUGUUGGCGAAGUUUAUUUGCGGGUCAGAAGGCCCCUUGGGAGGCCUGGGAACAGGGCUAGCAUCUCCAGCCAGCUAUGGGGAGCCACUUCCUACGGAAAGCCUUUCUGCCUAAAGCCUCUGCCCUUCACUUCAAGUUUAUCAGGUGUGCCAUUUCAGUGGGUGAUUUAUAUGCCCUAUGAAUCCCAACAGCACCCAAGCAGAGAAGGCAUUCACCAGGUGAGGCUGUUGUGACCUCAAAUAUUAGUAAAAAUAGGAAAAAUGUGUUUCCAGCAUCUGUUCAGGCCCAGAAAGUCCUCUGAAAUGGCUGUAGGCAAGUUGCUCAAAGAGAAGCAAGACUUGGCAACCUUCAUGAAGUCUCAGAGUAACAGGACAGAGUUCCAGAAGUAAGCAUCUUUUCC